Molecule: long non-coding RNA, 188 nt
Organism: Nanorana parkeri
Lineage: Eukaryota; Metazoa; Chordata; Amphibia; Anura; Dicroglossidae
Exons: 3
Source: RefSeq, a predicted model, not a curated record
UUGAAAGGUUUUUUUUUUAUUUUUUUUUUAAACUUAUAAUAAUUUUCAUUUUUUUUAUUCUUCAGGUUAAAGAAACAGUAGGAGUUUUAAGCAAUAGUUCUAUAAUACAAUCAUAUUGCCACCUUGCGGAGAAUGUUUUUUUUUGUGUGGACAGACUGGUAAGAAUUUCAUUAGGUAGCAAAGUAUUU